AUGGUUUAUCCAGAUGAAGGCUAUGGCCCUACCUGGGACAGCGACGACGAGUACGACAACUUCAUACGCAAGAUGAACCCGCCAAGUAUCAUCAUCGACAACGAUUCGUUGGCGGACGCGACGAUUGUCAAGGUUGGCAGUGCAAACGAGUAUGGGAUUCUGCUGGAAGUGAUCCAAGUCCUCAUGGAUCUCAAUCUUGUGAUAAGCAAGGCAUACAUAACCUCAGAUGGGGGGUGGUUCAUGGAUGUUUUCAAUGUGACUGAUAAGGAAGGGCUGAAAUUGAAAGACAAGGCUGCUAUUGCGGAGAUUGAGGGCUACAUCCGGAAGUCCUUGGGCGCAGAUUCAAGAUACAUGCCUGCUAAACGGAGAUCGGUGGGUGUCGCCGCUUCAACCGACCACAAUGUCAUUGAGCUGACAGGGAGCGAUCGUCCAGGCCUGCUCUCUGAAGUCAGCGCGGUGCUUGCGAGCCUCAAAUGCAAUGUGGUCAGUGCUGAAAUUUGGACCCAUAACACCAGAGUUGCAGCCGUGAUGCGAGUCACUGAUGAGGACACCAUGCUAGCCGUCACCGAUACCGUGAGGCUUGAAAUGAUCAAGGAGCGACUAUCCUACCUUCUCCGAGGAAACAAUCUCUCGCGAGGAGCUGCCAUGGCAGAAGCAUCGGGGACUUCUGCCACACAUACCGACAGAAGGCUGCACCAGAUGAUGCUUAGUGACGGGGACUGUGAAGAGUUUCAUGGGCAUGUCCCAGCUCAACCUCAGAGGCCUAAGGUCACUGUUCGGAAUUGGAAAGACAAGGACUACUCGGUGGUGACCAUCAGGUGCAAGGACAGGCCGAAGCUUCUGUUCGAUACUGUUUGCACCUUGACAGACCUGCGCUAUGUUGUCUACCAUGCAAACAUUGACGCCAACAAUAAUCAGGCGUACCAGGAAUUCUAUGUAAGACAUGUGAAUGGAUCUCCAAUGAACACUGAAGCUGAAAGAUUGAGAGUCAUCCAGUGCCUUGAAAGUGCAAUUGAGCGCAGGGUAUCUGAGGGUGUGAAACUUGAGCUGUGUUCAAAUGACAAGGUCGGCCUCCUAUCUGAGGUCACGCGCAUCUUCCGGGAGAACAGCCUGACUGUCACAAGAGCAGAGGUGAGCACCAAGGGCAGGACAGCCGUCAACACAUUCUACGUCCGCAGUUCUGCGGGGGAGGUAGUUGACCAGAAGACCAUUGAUUCCAUCAGGGAAGCCAUAGGACAUAACAUUCAGGUGAAAGGCCACCCUGAGGCACCAGCACCUCAGAAGAAAGAGUCCCCGACAUGGUUCCUCUUCGCAAACUUAUUCCGGCCAAGGUCUCUCUCUAGUCUUGGCUUGUUUGUGCGUUAA
This 1365-nucleotide ribosomal RNA is filed under the name Triticum aestivum (bread wheat). RNAcentral's name for it is "partial small subunit ribosomal RNA". Lineage: Eukaryota; Viridiplantae; Streptophyta; Magnoliopsida; Poales; Poaceae. The record is from RNAcentral.